Molecule: non-coding RNA, 46 nt
Organism: Anopheles epiroticus
Lineage: Eukaryota; Metazoa; Arthropoda; Insecta; Diptera; Culicidae
Source: Rfam
AAACCGGUCCUUUUCAGGACCACAACUCGCAUCUGUACAAAAGAAU